AUGUCUGUCCUGCAAUGCCUAGUGACGCUUAUUAACCAGUAACCUGAAGAGCAGUAACUGGCAAUUCUAGCCACCACCCCUCCCCAAGCCCCUUCAUGUUCUCACAGCAUGUUUAUCACACACAAGCCAUUCAGGGACAGAGAAUCCUUGACUGCCCCAAAGCCUACUAGGAAUAAAGAUCAAGCAAAAUCUUCUUUGAAAACACCAGUGAUUCUAUCAUAUUGGAAAUAUACAUAAGAGUGUAUAGAAAACGAAUGUAGACAUUGGACAGUUCAUCCGAAUUGCAUUAUGAUUUAGCACAUCAUGUAGUUCAAAGGAUUCACAUUCCUUUCCGUGAUCUUAAGCCAAAACUGUAGAAUUGCCACAACAGUACUAGAUAUACACACAUUCCCUGUUUCGUGGAAAUCCAAGAACCAAGAGGAUACGGGAGGAGAAAAUUUGCGACUGUCUGCAACAAUAAAUCAGGUAUCUAUUCUGGUGUAGAGAUAGGAUGUUGAGAGCCGCCCUGCUAUCACCAGUGUAGGAAUUAAGAGUAGUACAGUACAUGUACAGAAAUCUGCCAUCGCGUGUUUGUGUAAACUCAAUGUGCACAUUUUGUAUCUCAAAAAGGAAAAAUAAAGCAAAAUAAAGUGUUUAUUACUCU
RNAcentral lists this long non-coding RNA (643 nucleotides) under Rattus norvegicus (Norway rat). RNAcentral's name for it is "long non-coding RNA NONRATT009409". Lineage: Eukaryota; Metazoa; Chordata; Mammalia; Rodentia; Muridae. The record is from RNAcentral.